CCUACGGGAGGCAGCAGUGAGGAAUAUUGGUCAAUGGCCGAGAGGCUGAACCAGCCAAGUCGCGUGAGGGAAGACGGCCCUACGGGUUGUAAACCUCUUUUGUCGGGGAGCAAAGCGAACCACGUGUGGUUCAUUGAGAGUACCCGAAGAAAAAGCAUCGGCUAACUCCGUGCCAGCAGCCGCGGUAAUACGGAGGAUGCGAGCGUUAUCCGGAUUUAUUGGGUUUAAAGGGUGCGCAGGCGGAGGUGCAAGUCAGCGGUCAAAUUGCGGGGCUCAACCCCGUACUGCCGUUGAAACUGCAUCCCUUGAGUGCGCGAGAAGUAUGCGGAAUGCGUGGUGUAGCGGUGAAAUGCAUAGAUAUCACGCAGAACACCGAUUGCGAAGGCAGCAUACCGGGUCGCUACUGACGCUGAGGCACGAAAGCGUGGGUAUCGAACAGGAUUAGAUACCCCUGUAGUC
This 459-nucleotide ribosomal RNA is filed under the name uncultured bacterium. RNAcentral's name for it is "partial 16S ribosomal RNA". It matches the Rfam family "Bacterial small subunit ribosomal RNA", at positions 338 to 795 of the family's 1533-position model. The record is from RNAcentral.